AGCAUCACCAAUAUCAGCCAUGUUGUUACAGCUGUGUGAUCAUUGCUUUUUUGCCAUUGAAUUUCUUCUUGUUCCCAGCUCUGGCAGGUUUGGUGACCAGUGAACACAUGAGGAAGGACAGAAGCUCGGUGUGUGCAAUAGUCUGGCUAGAAGGCAAGGCCCCAGAAAUCGCAAGGAAGCUGCGGCUCUUCCAGCACGUCUGGCUUUGAGGAGUUGCUGCUGCAGGAUGCACUGAGAACUUGAGAAGCAGCAGCAUUACACGUGCUCUUGCAAUUCAGCCUUGCUUGGAGCCAACAGGAGACUUUGCAAUGGAUUCCCAGAGAGCAGGUUGUGACUUGGGUCAAGUAGAGCUAACAACUAGAUCCAACAACAACUACUUCAUCUGAUGUUUCUUUAGCUGUUUUCUCUGUUCUGCAAAAGGGGAGUUGAUAAUUCGCUUCCUCGCAUCAGUCAAUGCCUGGAACCACCUGCUUUUGGAGGAGAAUGCCAGGAUGACGUCACCCAAAGCCCACAGGGAAAUAUUGCAGCGCAAGUGGGAAACAGCGUUUCCUCUGCUCAAGUGCCUCUGCUAUUUAGCUGCUGCACCCAAAGAAUGUGCAAAGUAAAAAACACAGCAAGUCUUGAGUUGCACCAGUGCUGUUUGCAGCCAUGGAGUCACUCGCUUCCAGGGACACAGUAAGUGGCUUUAGAGUCUUAUUUUUAGAGCAUUCCUGCUGCUGUUAUUCCAGUUUCAAGACAGAAGAAAUCUUGCUGGGUCCAGCUACCAUGACACCAUAUUUAUACUCCAUCUCUAUGCUGCCAUGGCCUCACAUUCAUAUCUGCAGUUAACUCCGAGCCCUGUCUACACCUGAGUUCACUUGCUGGCAGCUACUGCUCUAUGAUAUUGCUGGAGUGUGAACCUUGACAGGGACAAGACAGCUGUCUUCCCAUACAGUUUCAAGUCAGGGUGAGCUUGACUGGAUUUUAUCUCCCUACAGAAAUGGUACCUUUUCUUCUUGUCUGUCCUGGGUGCUUUAUUGAGGUGGCCAUACCAAUAGCUUGGAAAAGUGGAGCAGAAUCACAUACAGAUGAGCCCUUUGUGGGUUGCCUGCUGCCCCAUUUCCCUUGUUACUGAGGAACUGCUGCUCAGUGGGGCCACUCUGCAAGAUGCUUCUAAAGAAGAACAAAGAUGUAUGAGAUGUAAAGGUGACAAGCACAAGAAAGACCAUGCUCGUCAUGGCCAAAAGUCCAUUGGGAUACUUAUAUGCUUGUUUUUAUGCUGAGGGGAAGUGGAGCAGAGCUUAAAUUCAGUUUCAAAGUCUGGUCAUCUGAAUGUAUCCCUCAACGGCAGGAGCGAUGUGAUGCUUGCUGAGGAACUGAUAAAUAGCUUCAGUUUUGUCUCCUUUUCUAAGCCCAGAUCCCUUCUUUACAAGGUAAUAAAAAUGUGCUGGCAUCGUCACAGCCAUCCCAAGCUGGAGCUGGCAGACACAGGGCUAUCCUGUUUUGUGAACUUUUUCAUCUCAUGAGAGUUUUAAGACACUUAUUUGGUCUGUACCUCCUUAUUUGAGACUGACCAGUUUGAAUCACUUUUGAUAAACUAUCAGUACUAGUCUCAAACAUCCUAUGACUUUAAUUAAAGUAGAUCACUGGAUAGAGAUACCCUGUGAAAUGCUCCCAUAGAGAUGAGAACUACACCAUGAGUGCUCCCCUGAGUAAUCAUCAGAGGCUGUUAUCACACUGAACAGCUUAACUUGAAACUCAGACCUCACCACAUGCCAAAAAACACUCAAGACAAGAGUGACUAAGGACUAAUCACAUCCACUGUAUCGUGAGAGUAACUGAAAAGUAAUAGAUGAGCCACCAUAAGAUGGUAUAAGGCAUAGGUAUGUAGGAAACUGGGCUUCAUUAACUUUUUGUGCAAGAGACGGCCUGUUUGAUAUAGCCAAGGUUUUCAACUACUACUUUUAUGCUAUUAUAGGCACAAGGUCAGUGAGUCAGUAAGUGUUAUUAACAUGUACAGUCAUAUUUAAAGGCUUUCUUUAUCUAUUGCAUUCUAGCUCUGUCCUGCAGUAGGUUUCUAGAAUGCGAUACCAUGUGAAUGAAGCUGGUAUGAGAAGCUGGAAAGAGACAAUGGGGAAAAUAAAGUAUUUAAGGUUGGCAUGGAGUUUACUUCAUGCUGCUUCUGCCUUGGUGUGUUGCUGGUGCCAGCCACAGUGGUACUGACUAAACCAGGUCACCUUUGGAGACUCAUGCAUUUGAUACACAUAUCUUCUAUAGUUUUCAUUGUGUCUUCACAAAUUAUUGUUUGCAGAAGCUAACCACAGAUUAGAUUAGUGCAUUGCUCCAGUGGGAUGCAAACUUUAGGGUUUAGGCAAUGCUAACAAGAGCCAACAAGUUAUACCUGAGUCAUUCCCCUGGCUGAAACAUCUCCUGCUUCGAUGGCAACAGAAGCAAGCUGAGCAUCCUCCCAGGAGACAUCAAGUGUUGACACCAAGGAUAGUCAUCUCCCAUCACGAUACACCAAGCAGAACUUGCAGUGGAAGAGCCACCAAAGUGAUUGAUCAUACAAUUAUCCUUGCAGCGAUACCAGACCGUCAAUGAGAUUAGAAGGGAGACACUUAAUGUAGUCUUUUGGUAGUGGGGCAAGAUUUACAUUCUUAGCAUAAGCUGCUUAGGAAAAGCUCCUUUUACUUAGCAUUUAUCACUUGUUACUGAUGUUUUAUUACAUUGAUAGCCAUCCCAGUCAAAUGUUUUGAAGUACCUACCUGUUGCACGCAUAGGCAUAUUCCCUUAGAUGCCAAACAUUUCAAGAGAACAAGACUGGAGACAAACUGGCUUAGACCUACUUAGUUGCACUGAUGUAAACUCGGGGUAGGUCCCUUUUAGGUCAAUGAAAAAGGGCCUAAUGUGCUUUCUGAGUUGUUGGGUUUCUUCCCACUGGCACUGAUGGAAGCUGUGUAUGGUGACCACAGGUCUGUGGACCUUACAUAAGACAAGCUUACAGUGAGCUUAGCAGGAUCUCUGGCUCAAGCAAGAAAUACCAAAUUUGAUCCUAUAGGGUAAAACACACUGCAUUUCCUCCAAAAUGUCUUUGGUUCACUUACCCCACCCCCAUGAUGAGCCAAGCCAGACAUAUUCCUUCUAGAUGAAAAAGUCAUUCUUCUGUUGUUUUUCACAAGCCUCUCAGGUAUACAAAAGGAUAAUGCAGCAUACAGCAUCAUCACCUAACGGUGCCUGUAACAUGCAUUAUGCAAAAGAGUCCCAGGGUGUUGUACAAUGAAAUUCUACAAUAAUCUUAGUAACAAAGAGCAAUUAAAAGCAGCAGUUAACCUAUAUUUCUCUACCCUACCUUAGGUGUCAACAUACACCCAGGAUUGCAAAUACUAGUUGGAAGCACAUCGCACUGUCCAGAGGCAUAAUUACAGAAAGCUGUAGUUCUCUUUAUCACAAAGUUUUAAUUAGCAGGACACAUUAAAUAACCAGCUGAUACAGAUCUUAAUGAAUCAUUUAUAGGCCUACAUCUGAGAUAAUUAUGUGUAGCUGGUCACACAUAAUCACUCGCAUAUGCCUGGGUUUAUGUGAAAUGGAAUAUGCAUCUUCCUCAUGUAAAGUAAAAGUGAAAAAGAUGGGACAAGACUGGGGCAAUAGCUCACCUUAACCCAACAUCUUGUGCCUGGACCAUUGCUGACAAGAUUGGGAGGCCCUAAGAAUAGCUGGUUUCAAAAGAAUUCUACCCUGAGGAAAGACAGGAGCUCUGGGCUCCUGAAUUGUUGGUUGGUUUGUUUUUUGGUGUUUUCAAUCAUGGUGGUUACCCCAGGUGGGCACUGUAUGUGAUGCUGCUCAGGAAUGAGGAGAGGGCAGAUGCACACCAGGGUUGAGGAUGCGUUUUCUCGGGUGAGCUGAGACUCUGGUGUCUGCAAGCCCCAUCAUGCUACCCCUGCUGUGGUUCCCUGGCAGCCUCACAUGCCCCAGAUGUGUCCCACUUUUCCCCAGCCAUGCUGCCUGCCCUGGAGCAUGGAGAGGCUGCUCCAGAACCACCACCACAGACCCCCAGCAGCUGGGUCUCUGAUCCACCAGGGGAGUUCCCAGCUCUCCAGUUUCACCAGCUUUCUUGCUGCAUAUUAUGUCUGGAUGAAAAAGUGGGAAGUGUUCCCAAACAUCCAAUUGCUCCAGGCCUAAUUUUUGCCCUGCGUACUGUUUCAGGGCCAGACUUUCAUGGUGUUUGUUUGUUGACUGCUCUUUGAUAGUAAAAAAGAAUUAUAAGUUGUCUGU
Long non-coding RNA from Columba livia (rock pigeon), 4251 nucleotides. RefSeq lists it as uncharacterized. The record is from RefSeq and is a predicted model, not a curated record. NCBI's taxonomy places the organism in Eukaryota, Metazoa, Chordata, Aves, Columbiformes, Columbidae. The transcript is spliced from 3 exons.